UCCUGCCCGAUUAAAACAUAAACAUUGCAAAUAACACCAGAAAUAACAGUUAAUUUACGUACACAUAUCAUAAAAAUUAUCGUGCGUGACUGAUACGCUGUAAAGCGGGUGAAUUUAAAACAUGAUUUUGAAUGGAAGUCAAUGACGCUCUCUGCUGGUUGGGUAUACCAAGAUGGCGGCUCGAACUCUGCGCAAGCUUCACCUCACGCUGUUACGUUAAGCGUUCUAUGCGCAAUCCAGUCAUUUAUAUAGAUCAGUGGUUCAAACCCAUGACCUUUAGUGUUGCAAUGCAAUGCUCUAACCUGAGCUAUCUGUGUGUUACAUCUCAAGAUAUAAUAAGAGGACAUUUUCUAUAUGCUGUACUAGCUGAGUAAAUGAUAAUUCACUGCUAAGUUGACAAAGUUAUAAAUAGCUAUUAUGUCUGGAAAUAUUUGCAAUAAAUGUGAAGAAGAACAUUUUUUUUCCUUUAACUGAUCUCCGCAGGUGUCUGUUUGGCAUGGUGACUAUGUUUAGCAGCUGUUUUGCUGACAGAUGCUGGAACAAACUAAAACAGACAGAUGCCUUUUUACUCUAAUAUACAUCACCAAGGGGAAAACAAGACAAUCCCUUCUUCCAUUUCAUGGCGAGUUUAAAGGUGGAAAAUUAAAGAACGCGACACGCGUAAUUCAACAAAUCAGAGGACGACUUCAAAGCUGCUGAAGUGUUUCCAGUUAAGUGUGCCGUAUGCAUCAGACAUUCAGCCAACCAUCUGUUUACGUGAUGUCUGAGGCUGAGACUAAGUAUGUAGUACAAUAAUUACUGUACUCAGUCAUGUUUGUAGAACUGCUCUACUUUUCAUUGUCUUGAUAGCUCAUUUUGCAGAAAUAAAUUGCAGAACGUAUGCGCCCCACAUAAAGAACCAAAUGAGCAAGAACUCGCUAAUCAUAAACAGGGUUCAUUUCCAUAAAA
Non-coding RNA from Misgurnus anguillicaudatus (oriental weatherfish), 948 nucleotides. The record is from RefSeq and is a predicted model, not a curated record. NCBI's taxonomy places the organism in Eukaryota, Metazoa, Chordata, Actinopteri, Cypriniformes, Cobitidae.